UACGUAGGGGGCAAGCGUUGUCCGGAAUCAUUGGGCGUAAAGAGCGUGUAGGCGGUCCGUUAAGUCGGCUGUGAAAGUCCAAGGCUCAACCUUGGGAUGCCGGUCGAUACUGCCGGACUAGAGUUCGGAAGAGGCGAGUGGAAUUCCCGGUGUAGCGGUGAAAUGCGCAGAUAUCGGGAGGAACACCUAUGGCGAAGGCAGCUCGCUGGGACGUUACUGACGCUGAGACGCGAAAGCGUGGGGAGCGAACAGG
Molecule: ribosomal RNA, 253 nt
Filed under: uncultured bacterium
Lineage: Bacteria
Description: partial 16S ribosomal RNA
Rfam family: Bacterial small subunit ribosomal RNA
Source: RNAcentral